ACCCCAGCUCAGACUGAUAGACUCAAAUGAACACAUAAAAAGAAUCGAAUUAGGAGCGAGCAUCCCGGGGGUUAUUCUGAAGUACCGGAAGACCUCGAUAAAGAAAGGCGAAAAAGGAAAUGUUAAGCCAUACUCGCGCUGUUUGACAAAGAAAACCAAACUGCGGUCUUUUUGGGGGUCGAUUAGACCAGAGGGAGGAGGAUUGGGAAGAACAAUCCUCUCAUUGGGAAGGGGAGCUCGAAUACGAAAAAGAGGGAUAUUCAGAUACUCUCGAGAGAAGAAAUUUCUCAGGGUAGAAGAGGUGAUGUUAGACUCUAGAUUCAUAACAUUGGGGAGCCUUGGGCUAUCCGUGGCAGUAUGAAAAACGUACCUUAAAGAUGAGUGAGGCAGAAAGGCAGGAUGAACAGAGCACGCAGAAAGCAGAAGGAGGGUAAGGGUUUCACGAAAAUUGGGAAAACUUGGGGAGAAUUUGAAUUUUGAAAACAAAAAGAGAAGAAGAGACGUUUUGAUGGGAACUGUCCUCGAGCCGCACAGUCAUAAUAGGUUCUUGAUAUUUACCCCCUCA
RNAcentral lists this long non-coding RNA (565 nucleotides) under Manihot esculenta (cassava). Its description in RNAcentral is "long non-coding RNA (MESC_LNC007392)". Lineage: Eukaryota; Viridiplantae; Streptophyta; Magnoliopsida; Malpighiales; Euphorbiaceae. The record is from RNAcentral.